RNAcentral lists this ribosomal RNA (253 nucleotides) under uncultured bacterium. Its description in RNAcentral is "partial 16S ribosomal RNA". It matches the Rfam family "Bacterial small subunit ribosomal RNA", at positions 524 to 776 of the family's 1533-position model. The record is from RNAcentral.
UACAGAGGGUGCGAGCGUUGUCCGGAAUCACUGGGCGUAAAGGGCGCGUAGGCGGCUUGUCGCGUCUGUUGUGAAAGCCCGGGGCUUAACCCCGGGUCUGCAGUGGAUACGGGCAGGCUAGAGGCAGGUAGGGGAGAACGGAAUUCCCGGUGUAGCGGUGAAAUGCGCAGAUAUCGGGAGGAACACCGGUGGCGAAGGCGGUUCUCUGGGCCUGUACUGACGCUGAGGAGCGAAAGCGUGGGGAGCGAACAGG